UGACUUCAGGAAGGGAAAGUAGAGUACAAUGUUUCUCUGCUCAUUUCUGCUUUUUACAGCUCUGACAGGUGUCAGCGGGCAGGACAGUAUUACCCCUACAUCAACUGCUGUCACUUAUAAAGUGAAGGAAACGGUUAAACUCUCCUGUGAAUAUAAAUACACAGUGAGUUUAAACAAUCUGCAGUGGUAUCGUCAGAAGAAAGGUGCUAAACCUGAGUUCCUGGUUCUACUGAUGGAAUCAGGCCAGAACCAGACGGCGGAUACUCCUCAUCCUCGAUUAUCUGCUUCAGUUAAUAAGACUGCGAAGCAUGUGUACCUGGAGAUCUUCUCUUCUGAAGUAUCAGAUUCUGCUCUAUACUACUGCGCUCUGCAGCCCACAGUGACAGGAAACCACCAAACACUGUACUAAAACCUGUGGAGACGUGCCUGCAGAUCUACAUCUACAUUAUACACAGCCUGCAGAUGUGAUACACAAUGCAAAAUAAUUAAUGACAUUUUUACAUCUUUACAGAGUCUGAAAGAUAAA
Molecule: non-coding RNA, 526 nt
Organism: Astyanax mexicanus (Mexican tetra)
Lineage: Eukaryota; Metazoa; Chordata; Actinopteri; Characiformes; Acestrorhamphidae
Source: the annotation of a RefSeq genome assembly